Long non-coding RNA from Cornus florida, 878 nucleotides. RefSeq lists it as uncharacterized. The transcript is spliced from 3 exons. The record is from RefSeq and is a predicted model, not a curated record. Lineage: Eukaryota; Viridiplantae; Streptophyta; Magnoliopsida; Cornales; Cornaceae.
AAUAUCUAGGGCUAAGGUUAUGUCGCGCAGCUGAAGGCAAUUCGGCGACUCCAGUACGCACAACGUCGGGCUUAAAAUUGACGACCCUCUCUUAAGAUUGGACUUGAAAUCGAUGACGCUCUCUGAAGCUUGCCUACACAAUCGUUUUCUUGUCACUGCUGUGGGCUUGAAAUCGACGACGCUUAAAUAGAUCUGAAGCUUGCCUAUACAGUCGUUUUCUUCUCACUGAUUGGGCUUGAAAUCGACGACGCUCUCAGAUCUAAAGAGAAGCUCCCUCUCUCUCACCUUUGCGUUUUCCGGUGAACCCAAAGCUUCUCCGCUGCCUUGUAUCACUCCGGCAGCCCUCUACAACUUCCAGCUAGUUCUAAUCUUCUUCUUCGGUCACGGUUUGGAUGAAAAAUUUACAGAAUCUCCCCAAGCUCUCUCUCUAUAUUUCUUUAUCUCUCUCAUCUCGGGGACAUUAUAAUAAUAUACAAGUAUUUGAUGUUUUAGUCACAUGCUCGUUCAUUUAUAUGGUUGGAUGACAUGCACCCACAUCUGCAAAUGGGUGGUCAUGUGUAUCAAGAGUUGGAGGAUGUAGUUGCUGUUAUGCAAGCUCAACAAAAUAGGCAAAACUACAUUGUAUAUGGUGGAUGUUGUUGUCUUAUUAUAACUAUAUUAUUUAUGUUAUUGCUCAUAUUGUUGUUGUUGGUUAUUGUGGCUGUUAACUAAUGAUGUAUUAUAUUUAUUCAAUUUUACUUAGAUACUUUUAUUGUGCCUGUUGACAAGUGUUGACAAGUGAUGUAAUAUUUAUGAAACUCAUGUCUGUAAUAUCUUCAAACUCAUGUAAUGUAUAAUAUGUUGAAAGUUUAUUUCAGUUAGAUAUUGAAACAAUGUCU